GGAGGCAGCAGUGGGGAAUAUUGGACAAUGGGGGCAACCCUGAUCCAGCCAUGCCGCGUGUGUGAAGAAGGCCUUUUGGUUGUAAAGCACUUUAAGCAGUGAAGAAGACUCUGUGGUUAAUACCCACAGACGAUGACAUUAGCUGCAGAAUAAGCACCGGCUAACUCUGUGCCAGCAGCC
RNAcentral lists this ribosomal RNA (180 nucleotides) under uncultured Psychrobacter sp. RNAcentral describes it as "partial 16S ribosomal RNA". It matches the Rfam family "Bacterial small subunit ribosomal RNA", at positions 344 to 516 of the family's 1533-position model. The record is from RNAcentral. Lineage: Bacteria; Pseudomonadati; Pseudomonadota; Gammaproteobacteria; Moraxellales; Moraxellaceae.